RNAcentral lists this ribosomal RNA (551 nucleotides) under uncultured bacterium. RNAcentral's name for it is "partial 16S ribosomal RNA". It matches the Rfam family "Bacterial small subunit ribosomal RNA", at positions 355 to 896 of the family's 1533-position model. The record is from RNAcentral.
UAGGGAAUCUUCCACAAUGGACGCAAGUCUGAUGGAGCAACAGCCGCGUGAGUGAAGAAGGUUUUCGGACCGUAAAGCUCUGUUGUUGGUGAAGAAGGAUAGAGGUAGUAACUGGCCUUUAUUUGACGGUAAUCAACCAGAAAGUCACGGCUAACUACGUGCCAGCAGCCGCGGUAAUACGUAGGUGGCAAGCGUUGUCCGGAUUUAUUGGGCGUAAAGCGAGCGCAGGCGGAAGAAUAAGUCUGAUGUGAAAGCCCUCGGCUUAACCGAGGAAUUGCAUCGGAAACUGUUUUCUUGAGUGCAGAAGAGGAGAGUAGAACUCCAUGUGUAGCGGUGGAAUGCGUAGAUAUAUGGAAGAAUACCAGUGGCGAAGGCGGCUCUCUGGUCUGCAACUGACGCUGAGGCUCGAAAGCAUGGGUAGCGAACAGGAUUAGAUACCCUGGUAGUCCAUGCCGUAAACGAUGAGUGCUAAGUGUUGGGAGGCUUCCGCCUCUCAGUGCUGCAGCUAACGCAUUAAGCACUCCGCCUGGGGGAGUACGACCGCAAGGUUG